RNAcentral lists this ribosomal RNA (288 nucleotides) under uncultured bacterium. Its description in RNAcentral is "partial 16S ribosomal RNA". It matches the Rfam family "Bacterial small subunit ribosomal RNA", at positions 335 to 621 of the family's 1533-position model. The record is from RNAcentral.
UACCUACGGGACGCAGCAGUGAGGAAUAUUGGUCAAUGGGAGAGAUCCUGAACCAGCCAAGCCGCGUGAGGGAAGACGGCCCUAUGGGUUGUAAACCUCUUUUGUCGGAGAACAAAACCCGGGACGUGUCCCGGACUGCGUGUAUCCGAAGCAAAAGCAUCGGCUAACUCCGUGCCCGCAGCCGCGGUAAUACGGAGGAUGCGAGCGUUAUCCGGAUUUAUUGGGUUUAAAGGGUGAGUAGGCGGUCCGUUAAGUCAGCGGUAAAAUUGCGAGGCUCACCCCCUUCGA